GGGUGUGUAGCUCAGUUGGGAGAGCGUCGCCCUUACAAGGCGAAUGUCGGGAGUUCGAACCUCUCCACACCCACCA
This 76-nucleotide transfer RNA is filed under the name Marinomonas communis. RNAcentral's name for it is "tRNA-Val". It matches the Rfam family "tRNA". From Rfam's summary of the family: Transfer RNA (tRNA) molecules are approximately 80 nucleotides in length. Their secondary structure includes four short double-helical elements and three loops (D, anti-codon, and T loops). Further hydrogen bonds mediate the characteristic L-shaped molecular structure. tRNAs have two regions of fundamental functional importance: the anti-codon, which is responsible for specific mRNA codon recognition, and the 3' end, to which the tRNAs corresponding amino acid is attached (by aminoacyl-tRNA synthetases). tRNAs cope with the degeneracy of the genetic code in two manners: having more than one tRNA (with a specific anti-codon) for a particular amino acid; and 'wobble' base-pairing, i.e. permitting non-standard base-pairing at the 3rd anti-codon position. The record is from RNAcentral. RNAcentral also lists the same sequence under 59 other names. Lineage: Bacteria; Pseudomonadati; Pseudomonadota; Gammaproteobacteria; Oceanospirillales; Oceanospirillaceae.